This 484-nucleotide ribosomal RNA is filed under the name uncultured bacterium. Its description in RNAcentral is "partial 16S ribosomal RNA". It matches the Rfam family "Bacterial small subunit ribosomal RNA", at positions 30 to 507 of the family's 1533-position model. The record is from RNAcentral.
AUUGAACGCUGGCGGAAUGCUUUACACAUGCAAGUCGAACGGCAGCACGGGGGCAGCCCUGGUGGCGAGUGGCGAACGGGUGAGUAAUACAUCGGAACGUGCCCGGUCGUGGGGGAUAACGUAGCGACAGUUACGCUAAUACCGCAUACGAUCUGAGGAUGAAAGCGGGGGACCAUCGGGCCUCGCGCGAUCGGAGCGGCCGAUGUCAGAUUAGGUAGUUGGUGGGGUAAAGGCCUACCAAGCCGACGAUCUGUAGCUGGUCUGAGAGGACGACCAGCCAUACUGGGACUGAGACACGGCCCAGACUCCUACGGGAGGCAGCAGUGGGGAAUUUUGGACAAUGGGCGCAAGCCUGAUCCAGCCAUUCCGCGUGCAGGACGAAGGCCUUCGGGUUGUAAACUGCUUUUGUACGGAACGAAAAGGCUCUGGCUAAUACCUGGGGCUCAUGACGGUACCGUAAGAAUAAGCACCGGCUAACUACGUG